UCGCUUCAGCAGCAAACAGACCAAAACGGGAGUGACACAGAGAAGAUUAGCAUGGCCCUGCACAAGGAUGACACACAAAUUCAUGAAGCAUUCCAUAUUUUG
Small nuclear RNA from Nomascus leucogenys (northern white-cheeked gibbon), 102 nucleotides. The record is from RefSeq and is a predicted model, not a curated record. NCBI's taxonomy places the organism in Eukaryota, Metazoa, Chordata, Mammalia, Primates, Hylobatidae.